GAUGAACGCUGGCGGCGUGCCUAACACAUGCAAGUCGAACGGACUUUAGACGCUGCAGAGAUUUCGGUCGAAGCUUGUUUAAAGUUAGUGGCGGACGGGUGAGUAACGCGUGGGCAACCUGCCUCGUACUGGGGGAUAGCAGUUGGAAACGACUGAUAAUACCGCAUAAGCGCACAGUAUCGCAUGAUACAGUGUGAAAAACUCCGGUGGUACGAGAUGGGCCCGCGUCAGAUUAGCUAGUUGGUAAGGUAACGGCUUACCAAGGCGACGAUCUGUAGCCGGACUGAGAGGUCGGACGGCCACAUUGGGACUGAGACACGGCCCAAACUCCUACGGGAGGCAGCAGUGGGGGAUAUUGCACAAUGGGGGAAACCCUGAUGCAGCGACGCCGCGUGAGUGAAGAAGUAUUUCGGUAUGUAAAGCUCUAUCAGCAGGGAAGAAAGGCUCGCAAGAGAGAUGACG
This 462-nucleotide ribosomal RNA is filed under the name bacterium AD2016. RNAcentral's name for it is "bacterial SSU rRNA". It matches the Rfam family "Bacterial small subunit ribosomal RNA", at positions 28 to 474 of the family's 1533-position model. The record is from RNAcentral.